This 66-nucleotide transfer RNA is filed under the name Pycnarmon pantherata. RNAcentral describes it as "tRNA-Ala". It matches the Rfam family "tRNA". Rfam says of the family: Transfer RNA (tRNA) molecules are approximately 80 nucleotides in length. Lineage: Eukaryota; Metazoa; Arthropoda; Insecta; Lepidoptera; Crambidae. The record is from RNAcentral.
AGGAUUAUAGUUUAAUAAAAACAUUUGAUUUGCAUUCAAAAUAUAUUGAAAUCUCAAUUUAUCUUA